UCAGAAAUAGGCGAUGGGCUCUGAUUGGUUAGCUAGCCCAGUGUGUUGUGAUUGGCUAACAAAGGGAAUGCCUCUAGUGCGCGUCCAAAUGUCCCGCCCCUCACCUCGGCGGCAUGUGCUCCGUAUUUGUGUUGUAAACACUGGC
Molecule: long non-coding RNA, 145 nt
Organism: Sinocyclocheilus grahami
Lineage: Eukaryota; Metazoa; Chordata; Actinopteri; Cypriniformes; Cyprinidae
Exons: 3
Source: RefSeq, a predicted model, not a curated record